RNAcentral lists this ribosomal RNA (254 nucleotides) under uncultured bacterium. RNAcentral describes it as "partial 16S ribosomal RNA". It matches the Rfam family "Bacterial small subunit ribosomal RNA", at positions 524 to 777 of the family's 1533-position model. The record is from RNAcentral.
GACAGAGGGUGCAAACGUUGUUCGGAAUUACUGGGCGUAAAGCGCGUGUAGGUGGCAAGGCAAGUCGGGUGUGAAAGCCCUGGGCUCAACCCAGGAAGUGCACUCGAUACUGCCUCGCUAGAGUCCCGGAGAGGUUGGUGGAACUCUCGGUGUAGAGGUGAAAUUCGUAGAUAUCGAGAAGAACACCGGUGGCGAAGGCGGCCAACUGGACGGUGACUGAUACUGAGACGCGAAAGCGUGGGGAGCAAACAGGG